RNAcentral lists this ribosomal RNA (253 nucleotides) under uncultured bacterium. Its description in RNAcentral is "partial 16S ribosomal RNA". It matches the Rfam family "Bacterial small subunit ribosomal RNA", at positions 524 to 776 of the family's 1533-position model. The record is from RNAcentral.
UACGGAGGAGGCAAGCGUUAUCCGGAAUUAUUGGGCGUACAGCGUGCGCCGGCGGUUCGUUGUGUCGGUGGUGAAAUCCCCGGGCUUAACCUGGGAAUGGCCAUGGAAACUGGCGAACUGGAGUGUGGCAGAGGGGGGUGGAAUUCCGCGUGUAGCAGUGAAAUGCGUAGAGAUGCGGAGGAACACCGAUGGCGAAGGCAGCCCCCUGGGCUAGCACUGACGCUCAGGCACGAAAGCGUGGGGAGCAAACAGG